RNAcentral lists this transfer RNA (73 nucleotides) under Perdix hodgsoniae (Tibetan partridge). RNAcentral's name for it is "tRNA-Asn". Lineage: Eukaryota; Metazoa; Chordata; Aves; Galliformes; Phasianidae. The record is from RNAcentral.
UAGGCAGAAGCCAAUGGGUUGUGGCAUCUAGCUGUUAACUAGAAUUGUAUGGGAUCGAGGCCCAUCUGCCUAG